AGAUAGAGUCUUCCCCUUCGGGGGACAAAGUGACAGGUGGUGCAUGGUUGUCGUCAGCUCGUGUCGUGAGAUGUUGGGUUAAGUCCCGCAACGAGCGCAACCCUUAAGCUUAGUUGCCAGCAUUAAGUUGGGCACUCUAAGUUGACUGCCGGUGACAAACCGGAGGAAGGUGGGGAUGACGUCAAAUCAUCAUGCCCCUUAUGAUUUGGGCUACACACGUGCUACAAUGGACAAUACAAAGGGCAGCUAAACCGCGAGGUCAUGCAAAUCCCAUAAAGUUGUUCUCAGUUCGGAUUGUAGUCUGCAACUCGACUACAUGAAGCUGGAAUCGCUAGUAAUCGUAGAUCAGCAUGCUGCGGUGAAUACGUUCCCGGGUCUUGUACACACCGCCCGUCACACCACGAGAGUCUGUAACACCCGAAGCCGGUGGAGUAACCAUUUAUGGAGCUAGCCGUCGAAGGUGGGACAAAUGAUUGGGGUGAAGUCGUAACAAGGUAGCCGUAUCGGAAG
Molecule: ribosomal RNA, 510 nt
Filed under: uncultured bacterium
Lineage: Bacteria
Description: bacterial SSU rRNA
Rfam family: Bacterial small subunit ribosomal RNA
Source: RNAcentral